AAAACAUGAAAAAUAAUUGUAACCUUAAUAUGCCAUGUUAGGCGUGUAAAAACAAAUUAUUUAAUAACAACACUGUGUACAAAGAAUAAUUAAGAAGUAAAUCGUUAAACAUGUUUUUUUAUAUAUAUUUAAAAAAAAUAACAAUAAUAAUAAUGACCUAUGUGAAUAAAUAAAUAAAAAAAAAAAAAAACCAAUAAUUUUAAAUAAUAAUAUUUGUAUAUCUAAAAAAGCCUCCGGGAUUGAGGUCGUCAUUUCUUGUGUAUGUUUUUGUUUUUGUUUCUGUUUUUUUUUUUUUUAUCAAUAUUUUAUAUGUACUAUAUAUAUAUAUACAUAUAUAUAUAUAUUAUAUAUAAUAAUAUUGUAUACUAUUAUUAUGUAACAUGACUAUAACCAGUUAAAAUACAUUAUGACG
This is a non-coding RNA of Cinara cedri, 412 nucleotides long. Lineage: Eukaryota; Metazoa; Arthropoda; Insecta; Hemiptera; Aphididae. The record is from the annotation of a GenBank genome assembly.